This 1340-nucleotide long non-coding RNA is filed under the name Homo sapiens (human). Its description in RNAcentral is "HSALNT0022146". Lineage: Eukaryota; Metazoa; Chordata; Mammalia; Primates; Hominidae. The record is from RNAcentral.
AGGGAAGGAGCUCUGUGUCAUAAAAGUGACCACAGCUGAGCCAAUCUCGCCCUAUGCCAGUCCACGUGGUAAUUUUGGAAGGGCCCUGGGAUAUCUGACCUUAUGAUGGUGUAGAAAAGGCUUGGACUACAUGUUUGGUUUGAAGUUUGAAAAUCUCAGUCCUUCCCCAACCAUCAAAAAUAUUUACCUCCCUCCCUUGUCUCACAAUCAUCUAAGCUGCCUUCUUGAAUUGACUCCCACACCUGUUCAUCAUAGAAGGAAAAAAAUAAAAGCAAAUGCCAUAUAAAAUCUCUCUUCUUCAACAAGGUCUUCUGUUUUGAAAUAUUGAAACAGUUCCUGUUCUAUUACCUCACCAGCUGUGGCCUUUUAUCUCCUAAAGGGAAUAGCUGACGUCUUACCAGUCAAAGUCAUUGUGCUUACGGACGCCAUAAAUAUCUCCUUUAAAUCCUACAUGAUAAAUUUCCCUCUGAUUGGUAAAGCAGAUACUGUAACAUGCAAAGGGGGAGCAGGAGAGUCUUUGAUGAUGUUAAACUAAGCCCCUGGAGAUAUCCCAGCUCUUCCUCCAGAAUUUUACUUUCCAACAACUGGAGUCAACAAAUACGGUAGAAAAUGUUGUCUGGAUUAUCUACUCCCAUUAUUUUUUUUUAAACUGGUUUUCAAUGAUGGGCAACCUAAAAUUUACUCACACAGAACACAAAACAGUUGAAUUUGUUAAAAGUCCAAAAUGUGCUUUUGUACUUUUGUAAAAUGGGAAUGUGCUUCUUGUACAAAUCACAAUAUGCUUUCUAGACCACAACCUAAAAAGGAAAGAAAAAAAUCCUGUGAAUAAAAAAAAAAAACAAGGACUUUCAGUUUUCUACAUGCAUUUGAAAUGACUUUAUCUCUGACUCAUGUUCUACUUUAUUUUUGAUUGGGAAGACCUGUUCCUAUACUGUAAUUUUUUUUUAAUAAUAAGUUUCCAUUUGUAACUAUUAGUUGGUCUUUCCACAAAAUUGGUUUGCUGGAAAGGACUGAGAAGAGAAAGAGCAUUCCUGGAUCAAUGGAACUGAUGAGUGUGGAAGUCCUUGAACUUGACCAAGCAUUGUCAAUUCUCAUAGUCUGACCAAAAAAAAACUAGAUUAUUUUGUGUGUUUUUCUUGGUGCUCCUAAUGUAAGUUUAUUCAAAUUGGGGGGGGGGCGGUGGGGGGAACAAACAAGUAGACUGCAGUUGUAAGAGAAAAAAGGUGAAAAUAAAUUAUUUUGGUGUUUUUUAUUACUUGGAACUUUAUUUAUUGUAGGAUAUAGAUUUAAGAUAAUUUUUUGUUUGUUUGUUUAUUUUAUUUUUAUUUAUUUAUUUGUUG